This 312-nucleotide ribosomal RNA is filed under the name Triticum aestivum (bread wheat). RNAcentral describes it as "partial small subunit ribosomal RNA". Lineage: Eukaryota; Viridiplantae; Streptophyta; Magnoliopsida; Poales; Poaceae. The record is from RNAcentral.
AUGCAAAUCGGAAGGGUGGUGGUGGUGGUGGUGGGGGGGGGGGCAAUACCUUGCUGGCGACGGCUGCGGAGACAAGAGGAGUCCACGGGAUGGCGAGGCGAGUCCAGAUGGGGGCGAGUGGAUCCAGGCAGCGGAGGCGGUGGCGGCAGCGCGGCGACGAACUCUGCGUUCGCCGCUGAAUCCUUGAUCCAAUCUGCUGCACAACAAAUGGCAAGAGAGAGCGCUAGUUGUUUAGGGUUACGACUUUGUGAGUGCUGGAGUGGGCCUGUACUAGGCUUCGGCGCCGUCCCGGCAUUUUUUUUUUUGUUUUAG